RNAcentral lists this ribosomal RNA (451 nucleotides) under uncultured bacterium. RNAcentral describes it as "partial 16S ribosomal RNA". It matches the Rfam family "Bacterial small subunit ribosomal RNA", at positions 354 to 796 of the family's 1533-position model. The record is from RNAcentral.
GUGGGGAAUAUUGCGCAAUGGGGGAAACCCUGACGCAGCGACGCCGCGUGAGCGAAGAAGGCCUUAGGGUUGUAAAGCUCUGUUUUAAGGGACGAAUGUCGUGGGGAGUAAUAUGCUCUGCGAAUGACGGUACCUUAAGAGGAAGCCCCGGCUAACUACGUGCCAGCAGCCGCGGUAAGACGUAGGGGGCGAGCGUUGUCCGGAAUUACUGGUCGUAAAGAGCACGUAGGCGGGAACUUAAGUCAGGUGUGAAAGACCGGGGCUCAACUCUGGGGUUGCACUUGAAACUGGGUUUCUUGAGGGCAGGAGAGGAAAGCAGAAUUCCUGGUGUAGCGGUGAAAUGCGUAGAAAUCAGGAGGAAUACCAGUGGCGAAGGCGGCUUUCUGGACUGACCCUGACGCUGAGGUGCGAAAGCGUGGGUAGCAAACAGGAUUAGAAACCCUGGUAGUCC